CCGAGCCGGUGGCGUAACCCUUUUAGGGAGCGAGCCGUCUAAGGUGGGACAAAUGAUUAGGGUGAAGUCGUAACAAGGUAGCCGUAGGAGAACCUGCGGCUGGAUCACCUCCUUUCUAAGGAAACAGACUGAAAGUCUGACGGAAACCUGCACACACGAAACUUUGUUUAGUUUUGAGGGGAUCACCCUCAAGCACCCUAACGGGUGCGACUUUGUUCUUUGAAAACUGGAUAUCAUUGUAUUAAUUGUUUUAAAUUGCCGAGAACACAGCGUAUUUGUAUGAGUUUCUGAAAAAGAAAUUCGCAUCGCAUAACCGCUGACGCAAGUCAGUACAGGUUAAGUUACAAAGGGCGCACGGUGGAUGCCUUGGCACUAGGAGCCGAUGAAGGACGGAACUAAUACCNAUAUGCUUCGGGGGAGCUAUAAGUAAGCUUUUNUUCGGANAUUUCNNAAUGGGGGAACCCCAGUACACAGUCNGGGGGGGGGGGGGGGNGNGAGAAAUNCCCCACGUANCGG
Molecule: unclassified non-coding RNA, 516 nt
Filed under: Lacticaseibacillus casei
Lineage: Bacteria; Bacillati; Bacillota; Bacilli; Lactobacillales; Lactobacillaceae
Description: Lactobacillus casei partial 16S-23S ribosomal RNA intergenic spacer
Rfam family: Bacterial small subunit ribosomal RNA (bases 1-115)
Source: RNAcentral